This 242-nucleotide unclassified non-coding RNA is filed under the name uncultured fungus. Its description in RNAcentral is "sequence contains ITS2". The stretch from base 1 to 52 matches the Rfam family "5.8S ribosomal RNA", at positions 103 to 154 of the family's 154-position model. Lineage: Eukaryota; Fungi. The record is from RNAcentral.
AACGCACAUUGCGCCCCUUGGUAUUCCGAGGGGCAUGCCUGUUCGAGCGUCAUUACAACCUCAAGCAUUGCUUGGUAUUGGGCUCCGCUGUUCACCCAGCGGGCCUUAAAAUCAGUGGCGGUGCCAUCGAGGCCCUGAGCGUAGUAAAUAUCCUCGCUAUAGGGACCUGGUGGACGCUGGCCAUUAACCCCCAACUUUCUAAGUUUGACCUCGGAUCAGGUAGGGAUACCCGCUGAACUUAA